UACGUAGGUGGCGAGCGUUAUCCGGAAUUAUUGGGCGUAAAGAGCGCGCAGGUGGUUGAUUAAGUCUGAUGUGAAAGCCCACGGCUUAACCGUGGAGGGUCAUUGGAAACUGGUCGACUUGAGUGCAGAAGAGGGAAGUGGAAUUCCAUGUGUAGCGGUGAAAUGCGUAGAGAUAUGGAGGAACACCAGUGGCGAAGGCGGCUUCCUGGUCUGUAACUGACGCUGAUGUGCGAAGGUGUGGGUAUCAAACAGGAUUAGAUA
Molecule: ribosomal RNA, 261 nt
Filed under: uncultured prokaryote
Description: partial 16S ribosomal RNA
Rfam family: Bacterial small subunit ribosomal RNA
Source: RNAcentral